CCCUGAUGUUAGCGGCGGACGGGUGAGUAACACGUGGGUAACCUGCCUGUAAGACUGGGAUAACUCCGGGAAACCGGGGCUAAUACCGGAUGCUUGAUUGAACCGCAUGGUUCAAUUAUAAAAGGUGGCUUUUAGCUACCACUUACAGAUGGACCCGCGGCGCAUUAGCUAGUUGGUGAGGUAACGGCUCACCAAGGCAACGAUGCGUAGCCAACCUGAGAGGGUGAUCGGCCACACUGGGACUGAAACACGGCCCAAACUCCUACGGGAGGCAGCAGUAGGGAAUCUUCCGCAAUGGACGAAAGUCUGACGGAGCAACGCCGCGUGAGUGAUGAAGGUUUUCGGAUCGUAAAACUCUGUUGUUAGGGAAGAACAAGUACCGUUCGAAUAGGGCGGUACCUUGACGGUACCUAACCAGAAAGCCACGGCUAACUACGUGCCAGCAGCCGCGGUAAUACGUAGGUGGCAAGCGUUGUCCGGAAUUAUUGGGCGUAAAGCGCGCGCAGGCGGUUUCUUAAGUCUGAUGUGAAAGCCCCCGGCUCAACCGGGGAG
This 552-nucleotide ribosomal RNA is filed under the name Bacillus paralicheniformis. RNAcentral describes it as "bacterial SSU rRNA". It matches the Rfam family "Bacterial small subunit ribosomal RNA", at positions 84 to 620 of the family's 1533-position model. The record is from RNAcentral. Lineage: Bacteria; Bacillati; Bacillota; Bacilli; Caryophanales; Bacillaceae.